This 497-nucleotide ribosomal RNA is filed under the name uncultured bacterium. RNAcentral's name for it is "partial 16S ribosomal RNA". It matches the Rfam family "Bacterial small subunit ribosomal RNA", at positions 28 to 507 of the family's 1533-position model. The record is from RNAcentral.
GAUGAACGCUGGCGGCGUGCCUAAUACAUGCAAGUCGAGCGAACAGACGAGGAGCUUGCUCCUUUGACGUUAGCGGCGGACGGGUGAGUAACACGUAGGUAACCUACCUAUAAGACUGGGAUAACUUCGGGAAACCGGAGCUAAUACCGGAUAAUAUUUCGAACCGCAUGGUUCGAUAGUGAAAGAUGGCUUUGCUAUCACUUAUAGAUGGACCUGCGCCGUAUUAGCUAGUUGGUAAGGUAACGGCUUACCAAGGCAACGAUACGUAGCCGACCUGAGAGGGUGAUCGGCCACACUGGAACUGAGACACGGUCCAGACUCCUACGGGAGGCAGCAGUAGGGAAUCUUCCGCAAUGGGCGAAAGCCUGACGGAGCAACGCCGCGUGAGUGAUGAAGGUCUUCGGAUCGUAAAACUCUGUUAUUAGGGAAGAACAAACGUGUAAGUAACUGUGCACGUCUUGACGGUACCUAAACAGAAAGCCACGGCUAACUACGUG